AACGAACGCUGGCGGCAGGCCUAACACAUGCAAGUCGAACGCCCCGCAAGGGGAGUGGCAGACGGGUGAGUAACGCGUGGGAACCUUCCCAGUGGUACGGAAUAACUGACCGAAAGGUUGGCUAAUACCGUAUACGCCCGAAAGGGGAAAGAUUUAUCGCCAUUGGAUGGGCCCGCGUCGGAUUAGGUAGUUGGUGAGGUAAUGGCUCACUAAGGCGACGAUCCGUAGCUGGUCUGAGAGGAUGAUCAGCCACACUGGGACUGAGACACGGCCCAGACUCCUACGGGAGGCAGCAGUGGGGAAUAUUGGACAAUGGGCGCAAGCCUGAUCCAGCCAUGCCGCGUGAGUGAUGAAGGUCUUCGGAUUGUAAAACUCUUUCGCCGUGGAAGAUAAUGACGGUACCCGGAGAAGAAGCUCCGGCUAACUUCGUGCCAGCAGCCGCCGUAA
This 447-nucleotide ribosomal RNA is filed under the name uncultured bacterium. RNAcentral describes it as "partial 16S ribosomal RNA". It matches the Rfam family "Bacterial small subunit ribosomal RNA", at positions 29 to 523 of the family's 1533-position model. The record is from RNAcentral.